RNAcentral lists this ribosomal RNA (492 nucleotides) under uncultured bacterium. RNAcentral's name for it is "partial 16S ribosomal RNA". It matches the Rfam family "Bacterial small subunit ribosomal RNA", at positions 31 to 507 of the family's 1533-position model. The record is from RNAcentral.
AGGGAAGGCUGGAGAUAGGCCUAACACAUGCAAGUCGAACGGCAGCACAGUAAGAGCUUGCUCUUACGGGUGGCGAGUGGCGGACGGGUGAGGAAUGCAUCGGAAUCUACUUUUUCGUGGGGGAUAACGUAGGGAAACUUACGCUAAUACCGCAUACGACCUACGGGUGAAAGCAGGGGAUCUUCGGACCUUGCGCGAUUGAAUGAGCCGAUGUCGGAUUAGCUAGUUGGCGGGGUAAAGGCCCACCAAGGCGACGAUCCGUAGCUGGUCUGAGAGGAUGAUCAGCCACACUGGAACUGAGACACGGUCCAGACUCCUACGGGAGGCAGCAGUGGGGAAUAUUGGACAAUGGGCGCAAGCCUGAUCCAGCCAUACCGCGUGGGUGAAGAAGGCCUUCGGGUUGUAAAGCCCUUUUGUUGGGAAAGAAAAGCAGCAGGUUAAUACCCCGCUGUUCUGACGGUACCCAAAGAAUAAGCACCGGCUAACUUCGUG